RNAcentral lists this ribosomal RNA (481 nucleotides) under Pseudomonas sp. E169. RNAcentral's name for it is "bacterial SSU rRNA". It matches the Rfam family "Bacterial small subunit ribosomal RNA", at positions 30 to 504 of the family's 1533-position model. The record is from RNAcentral. Lineage: Bacteria; Pseudomonadati; Pseudomonadota; Gammaproteobacteria; Pseudomonadales; Pseudomonadaceae.
AUUGAACGCUGGCGGCAGGCCUAACACAUGCAAGUCGAGCGGAUGACAGGAGCUUGCUCCUGUAUUCAGCGGCGGACGGGUGAGUAAUGCCUAGGAAUCUGCCUGGUAGUGGGGGAUAACGUUUCGAAAGGAACGCUAAUACCGCAUACGUCCUACGGGAGAAAGCAGGGGACCUUCGGGCCUUGCGCUAUCAGAUGAGCCUAGGUCGGAUUAGCUAGUUGGUGAGGUAAUGGCUCACCAAGGCGACGAUCCGUAACUGGUCUGAGAGGAUGAUCAGUCACACUGGAACUGAGACACGGUCCAGACUCCUACGGGAGGCAGCAGUGGGGAAUAUUGGACAAUGGGCGAAAGCCUGAUCCAGCCAUGCCGCGUGUGUGAAGAAGGUCUUCGGAUUGUAAAGCACUUUAAGUUGGGAGGAAGGGCAUUAACCUAAUACGUUAGUGUUUUGACGUUACCGACAGAAUAAGCACCGGCUAACUCU